AUGGAUCUUGAACUGUUGUGGAGUGGUCGACCUGCACUCUCAGCACUGCCAUGGAUCUGCGGCGGCCUCGUGGCCACCGUGCUGCUCUGGCAAGCCGCCCGGCUGCUCGACCAGCUGUGGUGGCGGCCGAGGCGGCUGGAGCGGGCGCUCCGCUCCCAGGGCCUCCGCGGCACGCGGUACCGCUUCCUCCUCGGCGACGUCAACGACUACGCCCGGCAGACCAAGGAGGCGUCGUCGGGGCCGCCGAUGCCGCCGCGCUGCCACGACGUCGGCCCCCGCGCCAUGCCGUUCCUCUACAGCACCAUCCAGGAGCACGGCGCGCCGUGCAUCUCCUGGUUCGGGCCGGUCCCCAAGGUGAGCAUCACCGACCCUGCCCUGGUCCGGGAGGUGAUGUCCAGCAAGCUCGCCCGCGACGUCGAGAAGUUCAAGUUCCCGGCGCUCACCAGGCUGCUCGCCGACGGGGUGGGGAACUACGAGGGCGACAGGUGGGCCAAGCACCGGAGGAUACUCAACCCCGCCUUCCAUACCGAGAAGCUCAAGCUCAUGUUGCCGGCGUUUGCUGCGUGCUGUGAGGAGCUCGUUGGCCGGUGGGAACGGUCCCUUGGGCCUGACGGCUCCUGGGAGGUGGAUGUCUGCCCGGAGCUGCAGAGCCUCACCGGAGAUGUCAUCUCGCAGACCGCGUUCGGCAGCAGUUACCUGGAAGGGAGAAGGAUUUUUCAACUGCAGACUGAGCAAAUUGGGCGAUUCAUGGCAGCGGUUAGCAAGAUCAUGAUUCCUGGUUACAUGUCCUUUCCUACCAAAAAUAACCGAAGGAUGCAUCAAAUUAACAACGAGAUUGAGUCCAUCUUGCGGGGCAUAAUUGCAAAAAGGAUGCAAGCUAUGCAGGAAGGGGAAAGCACAAAAGAUGACUUACUCGGCUUAUUACUCGAGUCAAACAUGUCAGACACGGAUGAAAACGGCCAAUCCACCCUAGGAAUGUCAGCAGAUGAAGUCAUGGAGGAGUGCAAGCUGUUCUAUUUUGCUGGAAUGGAGACAACAUCAAUAUUGCUUACAUGGACAAUGAUUGUGCUUAGCAUGCACCCGGAGUGGCAGGACCGUGCAAGGGAGGAGGUUCUUGGCCUAUUUGGAAAACACAAACUCGAGUAUGAGGGUGUUAAUCGGCUCAAAAUUGUGACAAUGAUUCUAUAUGAAGUUCUCCGGUUGUACCCGCCGGCUACUGUAUUCACCCGGAAAACAUACAAGAAGAUUGAGAUCGGAGGCAUCACGUACCCAGCUGGUGUGAUGUUUGAGAUGCCAGUGUUGUACAUCCACCAUGACACAGACAUCUGGGGAGAAGAUGUGCACCAAUUCAAGCCGGAUAGGUUUGCCGAGGGGAUCUCCAAGGCGUCCAAGGACCCGGGCGCAUUUUUCCCAUUCGGUUGGGGGCCACGGAUCUGUAUCGGCCAGAACUUCGCAUUGCUUGAGGCCAAGAUGGCGUUGUGCAUGAUCCUUCAGCAUUUUGAGUUUGAGCUCGCACCAUCAUACACCCAUACGCCGCAUAGCGUGAUGAUGUUGCGUCCAAUGCAUGGUGCUCCGAUUAGGCUUCACACUAUCUCUUCGUAA
Molecule: ribosomal RNA, 1602 nt
Filed under: Triticum aestivum (bread wheat)
Lineage: Eukaryota; Viridiplantae; Streptophyta; Magnoliopsida; Poales; Poaceae
Description: partial small subunit ribosomal RNA
Source: RNAcentral